CUGAAGAGACCUCAGCUUCACGGUGUUGUGUCGAGUUGUCCGCACCUCGCGGGAUUUUCGGGUUAAUUUAUCACCGUUGAUGAACAACAUAAAGAAUAUUUUAUCGUUUUUAAAUAGCCGGCUACUUGAAAUAGACCCGCGGGGAACCGCGACGUGCGUGCAGUUGUCGGCAGCAGUAAUGCACGUAAAAGUCUGCACAAGACCGUUGAUUGACAGGCGAGAGAGAGAAAAGGAUCUUCAAAAAGCCUCAGUUUAGCUGGAAAUUUACAGUGUAAGUUGAAUGAAAAGAGACUGCAGCUCUGCAGCUUCUCAAGAUUAUAGCGGAGCUAAUUGCCGCGCAGAAAAACACACGAUUCAACUAUCAGUCGACUAUAGGCAGGACUUGACGAUUCUGAUUCGACUAUGUAAAUCCUUAGUCGGGGACAGCCCUACACUGAGCAGCAGGCCGACUAGCUGAGCCCUUCACUCUUGUGAGUUCUUGACCUGACGUGGUGCAUCGGCCCUGACGAGACUGACAAAAAGGGUUGAAGAGGCACCACCUCUCUCCAUCCUGCACGACCUUCCUUCCCUCCUCCAAGAGAGGGGCCAUCCAUCCAUUCGCUCACCCAUACUUCCAUCCGCCCAUCUGGCUGACUGAUGCACAGAAGGGGAACGAGACUGUCAAGAUCCCUGAACCUCAGCCGAACCAUUCUCUCUCUCUCUGUCUCUCUCUCUCUCUGUCUCCUUCCCUCCCUAGCCAUUAGAAGUGGUUGAAGGACUGAUAACCGUGCUGCUGCAGCUAUUCCCUGCGGACAGAAAGACAGACACACAUGGAGCAAACAACCACGUUAGAAGCAGGACAGAAACGCACGUGCAGUGUAAUGGGAAGGUGAGUCACAAAAGGAGAAGAAAAGAGAGGGGCGAGAUCAGAGAAUUGAGGGAGUCGGGCAGGGAGAGGGAGGAGCAGUAUGAAAGAAGAGGUGGAGAGAUCAGAGAAAAAGAGUUGAUGGAUUUCCUGUCUGAAUAAAUGAAGAGGAGGGAAGCUGUUUGAUCAAUGAGCUGUCUAUCCUCUCCUCACCCUUCUGCGCCUCGGCUGGAUGGAGUUUUCACUACACAAACAAAACGGAAAAUGUAAUUUUCCCAAUUUAAAUACCUCCUGCAGUAUGUGGAUCCCAUGUGUUAAAAGGCGAUUAAUAAUGAAUA
Long non-coding RNA from Micropterus dolomieu (smallmouth bass), 1182 nucleotides. RefSeq lists it as uncharacterized. Lineage: Eukaryota; Metazoa; Chordata; Actinopteri; Centrarchiformes; Centrarchidae. The record is from RefSeq and is a predicted model, not a curated record. The transcript is spliced from 5 exons.